RNAcentral lists this long non-coding RNA (727 nucleotides) under Phoenix dactylifera (date palm). Its description in RNAcentral is "long non-coding RNA (PDAC_LNC015690)". Lineage: Eukaryota; Viridiplantae; Streptophyta; Magnoliopsida; Arecales; Arecaceae. The record is from RNAcentral.
AAAGAUCUAAGGUCCUGCCCACCAAUUAAGGUUGUAUGCGUGAAAGAGGAUAUUUAGGUCGUUUAGAUAACCACUGAGAAAUAAGAGAGGUAAAUUUUUAAAAAUUAAUAAAAAUAUCCUUCUUACCUUAUUGAAGAUCAAACUUAAUUGUCCUAGUUAUGGACAAGAAAAAGGUACACUACAUGUCAGUAUAUGAAGGAUACCUGUAGAAUAGAAAUUUCAUUUUGAAUGAGCCAACAAAACUACAAUACUUCAACCAAUUUGCAAAUGAACCACUUACAAAACUUUGCCACAAUCUCAGAAUUCUCCCUUCUGACGGGAUGCAACAUAAAUUAUCAUCGAAUAGGCCUGGUAGCUGUGGUGAAUUUAUAACAUGUAAACAUAUUUUAUAUAAAGUUCAUUCUUUUUUCUGCUUGCAUUCCCAGACCAAUCCUCGCCUCUUGUCCAGAAGUUUAUAUCCAAAUGCUGCUGAACGCUUCCUCGAUUGCCCUCCUCUUGCCCAGCUCAAUGGUCCAUCCUCCAGCUCUGGCCCCUCUCUCUGCUCGUAGCUUCAUUGCUUCCUCGUCGUCGACCGCAUAGCCCUGCAGGAGAUCAGCUGGACCUCCAACAGGGACAGGCUGUGGAGCCAUACCUGUUGGGCGUGGCUGUGCAAGCCCACUGCCCAGGACAGCUGCAGGGGCAUACUGCCCUUGCACACCAAUACCACCGCUAACGCCUUGAGAGCUCU